CUACUUACUGAUCCCCUACCAUGUGCCAGACCUAGGAUAGGCAGUUUGUAGUUAUGAUCUCUGUCGUUAACAACAACACUGAGGUGAUAGAUACUAUAAUCCAUGUUUAAUGGAUACAGAUGUUGAGACUAAAAGAAGUUAACUAACUAAUUGACAUGAGGUCAUGUAUCCAGUAAUUGUCAGUACUGGAACUCAAAUCCAAAUUUCUCUGAUUCCAAACCCAGUAUACUUUAUUCUGUGCCAAAUUGCUUCCUAAGAAGUAGAUAUUUGUUUUCAGGAAGAAGAUAGUUUGAGGUCCUAACAGGCCCUAAGUUGGGCCCUAAAAUCUUCAGUUUUUUCCUAGUUUAAAUUUUUUCUCUAGUAAUUUGUUUCAUCUUGUUCCUAUGUCUCUCUUGGUUAUUUGCUUUACUCUCUAGCUACAGAAGAAAGGAAACCAGCUGAAGUUCUCAUUGUCGAGGGACAACAGUAUGCUGUCGUUGGAACUGUAUUGUUGUUGAUAAGAAUUAUCCUUGAAUAUUGCCAGUGUGUGGACAAUAUCCCAUCUGUUACUACUGACAUGCUUACUCGUCUGUCAGAUUUAUUGAAGUACUUCAAUUCAAGAAGUUGCCAGUUAGUUCUUGGAGCUGGUGCACUGCAAGUUGUUGGACUAAAAACAAUAACUACAAAAAAUUUGGGUAUGGAUUCUUGCUUUUAAUUCACAUGCUGAGAUUUUACUGUGAGGUCGCCAUACUUGUGUUUUUAUUAUACCUGAUGUUUUUAUGACUCUAAUUAAAGGCUCUAAAAGUAGCAAAUGCUGCUUUACUCUUCUAUGUAUUACCAUAACUGAAAAAUUAACUUCUGAGGUAAUGUUAUGAAGAAUUUCCAUUCUAACAAAUACAAGUUAUUUGGAAGUUGCACCACUAUAGAAAAUGUUAAGAUAUGUAAUACGUAUGAGGUGCUGUGAGGUGAAAGGUAUCUGAAUGUCAGAAGAGAAUCUGUUGUCUCAUUAGCUUCCUCAUGUCAGUAAUACUAACACUUUGAGUUCAUUGGGAAAAGCAGCAUGUUUACUACAUUAUUCAGUACCAAAUCAUUUUUUUUUUUAAGAUUUUUAUUUGAGAGAGAGAGAGAGAGCCCACAAGCGGGAAGGGGCAGAGAGGGAGAGAGAAAGAAUCU
Long non-coding RNA from Ailuropoda melanoleuca (giant panda), 1152 nucleotides. RefSeq lists it as uncharacterized. The transcript has 3 exons. The record is from RefSeq and is a predicted model, not a curated record. Lineage: Eukaryota; Metazoa; Chordata; Mammalia; Carnivora; Ursidae.